AGCGAACGCUGGCGGCGUGCUUAACACAUGCAAGUCGAGUGCGCAGUCCGCUGUAGCAAUACAGUAGGCAGGCGCACGGCGCACGGGUGCGUAACACGUGGGCAACCUGCCCUCCAAAGGGGGAUAACCCGCCGAAAGGCGGGCUAAUACCGCAUGAUAUUCCGGUGGCUUCGGCCGCCGGAAUCAAAGUCGCAAGACGU
RNAcentral lists this ribosomal RNA (200 nucleotides) under uncultured bacterium. RNAcentral describes it as "partial 16S ribosomal RNA". It matches the Rfam family "Bacterial small subunit ribosomal RNA", at positions 29 to 218 of the family's 1533-position model. The record is from RNAcentral.